UUCAGAGGAUGUGACCUUUGACCUGACUGU
Molecule: non-coding RNA, 30 nt
Filed under: Rattus norvegicus (Norway rat)
Lineage: Eukaryota; Metazoa; Chordata; Mammalia; Rodentia; Muridae
Source: RNAcentral